CAGCGAUCCCCGCACACUAACACUAUCCUACACACACUAGGGACAAUUGUUUUACAAUUGCAACAAGCCAAUUAACCUACAGAGCUGUAUGUCUUGGGAAUGUGGGAGGAAACCGAAGAUCUCUGGAGAAAACCCACGCAGGACAUGG
Amblyraja radiata (thorny skate) is the source of this 148-nucleotide long non-coding RNA. RefSeq lists it as uncharacterized. The transcript has 3 exons. The record is from RefSeq and is a predicted model, not a curated record. Lineage: Eukaryota; Metazoa; Chordata; Chondrichthyes; Rajiformes; Rajidae.